This 3034-nucleotide long non-coding RNA is filed under the name Sparus aurata (gilthead seabream). Its description in RNAcentral is "lncRNA (ENSSAUG00010003922.1)". The record is from RNAcentral. Lineage: Eukaryota; Metazoa; Chordata; Actinopteri; Spariformes; Sparidae.
GCGACGUGAUGCCUCAGACCGGUAUGAACUAUGAGGGCAGGAGGAGAGGAACACGUCGCAGCACCUGUAAAGCCAACGGUCUGGCCCCAGGCGCAGAUUUGGUUAAUGGAGCCGUUGUCCACAAUGGCUACCCAGCAGCUGCCACUAGAACCAAUGAGACCACACCAGCUGGUACACUGAAUGGAACCAAACCACAAUGCAUGGUUAAUGGAUAUAUUAACCACAAGUACAAGAGUAGAAAUGCGUCGCCACCAAGGACACUCAGGAAGCAUGGUAGCACUAUUCCAGCUGUCAGUGAUGCCUCAACAGCUGGCAGGGUCAACAGUGCAGACAAUUCUGGUGGUAUCUCAGUAAAUGGGGCCGCCAGUCUAGACACUGUUGCCUCACACUGUUAUUCUGAUCAAAUGGCUCCAGAGCCCAGCCUGUCAGCGGGGGCAAAGAAUCGGAGAAGAUGGAAGAAAUGUGGACGAAAGAAGAGACCCCCAACGCUGCCACCACAGGAGCAGGAGGACUGGGAAAGUGAGAUCCAAGAGGUGACGGUUCCCGACUGGGAAAAGAUGUGUUUUGGGGUCAGACCCUAUGGUCCAGAGGAUGUGCUCCACUUCGCUUUGCGGGAUUUGAGACUUAGGCAAACGCAAACCGCUGACCUGCCGUUGACAGCCAAUUACAGACCAGCAUUACACCACCCACGCCCUGUCAAAUGGUCCUGCUACAGCAUCCCCACUGAGCCGGACCAGUUUGCAGAUGCUGACGAGGCUUUUUGUUCCAACGUGACUCACCACGCUGUAGCCACGGUUGGUGCCUGGAGGCAGAGAUUGAGGGAGGGUGAACAGCGCAGAAGAAAAAGAGUUGAUGUGGUUAAGUCAUUAGGAGACUGCAUGUUGGGUUGCUGUGUCAAGCUUCGGCCUACUUCUCUGAUGAAUCAAUAAGCCGAACGCCUGCCUGCGAAAGGGACACACACAGAGGAAGAAGAGUUCUAUCUUAUGGUUUGCCUGGCCCUCAGAUCAUUUUAAGUUUGGGCCAACUCCUCCGCAGAUUGUGCGUGCUGGCACGGCACAAAAAAAGUACCUCAGAUACGUAACAUCAGUCAAACCAGAUGGUGCAUGUGAUUACUCACUACUGCCUAUAAAUUUGUCAGCAAAAUGUUAUUGAGUUGACAUUCAUAAUCCCUUUUGUCAUGGUUCUGAUUACCCUGUCAAAACACAAACAAAUGGAACCAGAAUGAUGGUAUUGGUUCUGUCUCUAGGAAACCAACGUUUGCAGUUAUUUGUUUACAAGUGUCGAUGCUUUAACAAACAAAGUCGUAAGUGCUUUUACCUCACGUUUUCCCCGACUUUUUAGAGAUGUGUUACAAUUGCUGCAAAGUUUUUGCACACCUGGAAGACUUAGUGACAGGUGUGUCUGAUGAAGAGAUCAAUUUGUGGUGAGGAAAAACAAAAAAUCCUCAAUUACUUGCACAUACUUGUAUUUUACCCAGAGAGCUAAAGUGAACCUGGAACAUCCAGGUUCCAUUCCUGAAAUAAGAAAAUCUCAGAAUAAAAUCUCUAACACUAACAACUAUAACCUUAGAACAGAACCAACAGUAUGUUGUGUGGCUCAUAUAUGGGUCAUUAAAAGAAGAUCUUAUAUUGUGAAUUCAAUAUUUCUGGCCUUUUAGGAACCCCUUUCCUCUUGAGCCCUUAGACCAAAGUGGGUUAAAACCAUCUCACUGCUUGACAAAAGUGCAGCAGCAAGUUCAGGUGCAGACAGCAAAAAUUACACCGCCAUGAAUAUCAGGUGUUAGUGAAUAUCAUGUAUACGCAUGAAACCGAGUCAUGGGAAAGGUAGAUGACUGCUCUGUUGCACUGGUACAUUUGUUUUGGUAAUAGAAAACAUAAAUCACAAAGGUUAAAAUGUUUAAUGGCAAAUGUCUACUUGCACAUUGUAGGGUCAGGUCAUUUGUUUUCAGAACUGCACGCCUGUUCACCAGAGCCCGACCGGUAUUAGUCUAUCACAGGUCUAUUGGUAGCAGCAUAUACUUUGGCAAUUAUCCGCAAAUAUAAAUAAAUUUUGAGAAUAUAAUGCAGACAAAGAUGCUUUGGUCAAUUUCUAAUUGUUUAAUUCCCAGCGAAGUUUGUUGUUUCAGUGUACUGAUUUUGGGACAAUAAAGCUUAUUGUUAAACUAUAAAAAAAAAUAUCCUGUAUUUGUAUGUGUUCCUUACCCAUAUAAUUUGAGCGAUCGUUGCAAAAAAAAUUAUUUAGGUAUAUAUUUUACUUAUAAAAGAAUGAAGGUCGAUAUAAAUUGAUGUUAGGUGUCAUGUCGACAUCGGCCCCAAAAAUCAAUUAUCAGUCAGGCUCUGCUGUUUAUUUCCUGACAGCAGCCAAAUGUUACCUUCGCCUCCAACCUCAGUGAUCACAGUGCUUUUCAUAAGUGAGUUACUUUAACUGUAACAGUAACAAAUUGCAUUAAUUUAUUAUUGUAUUUAAUUAAUUAAUUUAAUGUAUGUUAUUUUAAAUAGGUUGAUUAUUUUUGAUAAUUGUAACAAUUGUAGUUUUGAACAGGUGGACCCAAAAGUGACGCCAAACAGGUAGUGACUUGAAAGGUGAAUUUACUGAUCAAACAAAGGAGUUUGCUGGUAGGAAGAGACAGUGGCUCCCACUGUGGUACAGGUCGAGACUCGUGGUCAAGCAGGAGGCUGGCUCAGGCAGUCGGGGGUUGUGAGAGGGGGGCAGAGGUGCAGGAGGCUGGGUGGCGAGUGGUUGAGGAGCUGGUCCACAGGAAAGCUCUGGUCACACUGAAAGAGGAAGAAGGCAGGAUUAAAGUUCUGGCAAGUCAACAAAAGAAGGCUUCCCAAAUAAAUAAACUCUGGAGACACAGAGCGAUUAGGUACAACUGGAGCUGGCCACAAUUAUCUGGCACUGUGCAGAGGGGAGGUCUGGGUAUAAGAGCAGGUGCUAAAUAUACUCUGUGUGCUGCAGGUGUGUGGACCGGCACAGCUCCGACCAGCAGCCAAACCCUGCCAGGCCUCACCAAGCACCUCUGAAACAUAAAGCA